RNAcentral lists this ribosomal RNA (253 nucleotides) under uncultured bacterium. RNAcentral describes it as "partial 16S ribosomal RNA". It matches the Rfam family "Bacterial small subunit ribosomal RNA", at positions 524 to 776 of the family's 1533-position model. The record is from RNAcentral.
UACGUAGGGUGCAAGCGUUAAUCGGAAUUACUGGGCGUAAAGCGUGCGCAGGCGGUGAUGUAAGACAGAUGUGAAAUCCCCGGGCUCAACCUGGGAACUGCAUUUGUGACUGCAUCGCUGGAGUGCGGCAGAGGGGGAUGGAAUUCCGCGUGUAGCAGUGAAAUGCGUAGAUAUGCGGAGGAACACCGAUGGCGAAGGCAAUCCCCUGGGCCUGCACUGACGCUCAUGCACGAAAGCCAGGGGAGCAAACGGG